GAGCUCCGGACCCUGAUUGCAGAACCGCCCACCGAGUUGUUGCUGGCCCCUUGAAGGGGGGCAUGUGCACGCUCUGUCUACAUAUCCACUCACACCUGUGCACUCUCUGUAGUUCUGUGGCCUGAGGGACCCUGUUCCUCUGCUGCGGUUCUACGUCUCUAUACACACCCUGUAGUGAAGUCUUAUGGAAUGUGUGCCGCGUUUAACGCAAUGAAAUACAACUUUCAGCAACGGAUCUCUUGGCUCUCGCAUCGAUGAAGAACGCAGCGAAAUGCGAUAAGUAAUGUGAAUUGCAGAAUUCAGUGAAUCAUCGAAUCUUUGAACGCACCUUGCGCCCCUUGGCUAUUCCGAAGGGCAUGCCUGUUUGAGUAUCAUGAACACCCUCAACCCUUGUGGUUUGCCACAAUUGGCUUGGACUUUGGAGGUCUUGCUGGCUCCGGUCGGCUCCUCUCAAAUGAAUCAGCUCACCAGUGUUUGGUGGUGUCGCAGGUGUGAUAACUAUCUACGCUUGCGGUCAUCCUCCAUGCAACCCUCAGCAAUGAGGGUUCACUGGGGCUCACAGAUGUCUCUCCUGAGCGAAGACAGCUCUUUGAACGUUCGAUCUCAAAUCAGGUAGGACUACCCGCUGAACUUAAGCAUAUCAAUAAGCGGAGGAAAAGAAACUAACAAGGAUUCCCCUAGUAACUGCGAGUGAAGCGGGAAGAGCUCAAAUUUAGAAUCUGGCGUGCCUCUGGCCGUCCGAGUUGUAUUCUGGAGAAGCGUUUUCCGCGUCGGACCGUGUACAAGUCCCUUGGAACAGGGCGUCAUAGAGGGUGAGAAUCCCGUCUUUGACACGGACCGCCGAUGCUCUGUGAUGCGCUCUCAAAGAGUCGAGUUGUUUGGGAAUGCAGCUCAAAAUGGGUGGUAAAUUCCAUCUAAAGCUAAAUAUAGGCGAGAGACCGAUAGCGACAAGUACCGUGAGGGAAAGAUGAAAAGCACUUUGGAAAGAGAGUCAAUCAGUACGUGAAAUUGCUGAUGGGAAACGCUUGAAGUCAGUCAUGUCUGCAGACUCAGCCUGCUCUGCUGGUGCACUUUUGCUGAUGGCUACAUCAAUUUGACGUGCAAAAAGGCUUGGGGAAUGGGGCACUUUGGGUGAGUUUAACCUCCGUGCCG
This 1152-nucleotide ribosomal RNA is filed under the name uncultured Thelephoraceae. RNAcentral's name for it is "eukaryotic LSU rRNA". The stretch from base 599 to 1152 matches the Rfam family "Eukaryotic large subunit ribosomal RNA", at positions 1 to 565 of the family's 3401-position model. The record is from RNAcentral. Lineage: Eukaryota; Fungi; Basidiomycota; Agaricomycetes; Thelephorales; Thelephoraceae.